UACAUGUGGGGCAAGCGUUGUCCGGAAUUACUGGGCGUAAAGGGCGCGUAGGCGGCCUUCUAAGUCAGACGUGAAAUCCCCAGGCUUAACUUGGGAACUGCGUCUGAUACUGGGAGGCUUGAGUGCGGGAGAGGGAUGUGGAAUUCCAGGUGUAGCGGUGAAAUGCGUAGAUAUCUGGAGGAACACCGGUGGCGAAGGCGGCAUCCUGGACCGACACUGACGCUGAGGCGCGCAAGCCAGGGGAGCAAACGGG
RNAcentral lists this ribosomal RNA (253 nucleotides) under uncultured bacterium. RNAcentral describes it as "partial 16S ribosomal RNA". It matches the Rfam family "Bacterial small subunit ribosomal RNA", at positions 524 to 776 of the family's 1533-position model. The record is from RNAcentral.